This 142-nucleotide small nuclear RNA is filed under the name Meriones unguiculatus (Mongolian gerbil). Its description in RNAcentral is "U1 spliceosomal RNA (ENSMUGG00000022031.1)". It matches the Rfam family "U1 spliceosomal RNA". Rfam says of the family: U1 is a small nuclear RNA (snRNA) component of the spliceosome (involved in pre-mRNA splicing). The record is from RNAcentral. Lineage: Eukaryota; Metazoa; Chordata; Mammalia; Rodentia; Muridae.
GUAUGUACCUUGUUGGGGAGAGACCAUAAUUAAAAAAGUGGUUUUCCCAAGAGUAAGCUCAUGUAUUACCCUUCAGAUGUGCUGACCCUAUGAUUUCCACUAACAGGAGAAACUUAACUGCAUAAUAUAUGGUAAAGUACUC